This 497-nucleotide ribosomal RNA is filed under the name uncultured bacterium. Its description in RNAcentral is "partial 16S ribosomal RNA". It matches the Rfam family "Bacterial small subunit ribosomal RNA", at positions 28 to 507 of the family's 1533-position model. The record is from RNAcentral.
GACGAACGCUGGCGGCGUGCCUAAUACAUGCAAGUUGAGCGCUGAAGGUUGGUACUUGUACCAACUGGAUGAGCAGCGAACGGGUGAGUAACGCGUGGGGAAUCUGCCUUUGAGCGGGGGACAACAUUUGGAAACGAAUGCUAAUACCGCAUAAAAACUUUAAACACAAGUUUUAAGUUUGAAAGAUGCAAUUGCAUCACUCAAAGAUGAUCCCGCGUUGUAUUAGCUAGUUGGUGAGGUAAAGGCUCACCAAGGCGAUGAUACAUAGCCGACCUGAGAGGGUGAUCGGCCACAUUGGGACUGGGACACGGCCCAAACUCCUACGGGAGGCAGCAGUAGGGAAACUUCGGCAAUGGACGAAAGGCUGACCGAGCAACGCCGCGGGAGUGAAGAAGGGUGUCGGAUCGUAAAACUCUGUUGGUAGAGAAGAAAGUUGGUGAGAGUGGAAAGCUCAUCAAGUGACGGUAACUACCCAGAAAGGGACGGCUAACUACGUG